AAGACAAGACUCAGACUCCUCUGAGCCUCCUGCCUAUAUGGUUCAGAAGUCCACAGCUUCCCUCUGUCAUUCUGCUAGAGCCUGCUAGCUCCUGUUUCCACCCCAUCCUGGCAGGCCCUACAGACUCAUCUUUUCCCCUCAGGUGUAUCCUGCUUGAGGGCCACUUAUUUUGAAAAUGGUGAGAGAUAAACUGCUGGAGUGGUCUGUUCAGCCUGGAGAAGAGGAGACUGAGGGGAGACCUCAUCGAACUCUACAAUUUCCUCUUGAGGGGAAGAAGAGGAGAGGCAGGCACUGAUCUCUUCUCUGUGUUAACCAGCAACAGAAC
Pipra filicauda (Wire-tailed manakin) is the source of this 325-nucleotide long non-coding RNA. RefSeq lists it as uncharacterized. The transcript is spliced from 3 exons. The record is from RefSeq and is a predicted model, not a curated record. Lineage: Eukaryota; Metazoa; Chordata; Aves; Passeriformes; Pipridae.